This 254-nucleotide ribosomal RNA is filed under the name uncultured bacterium. Its description in RNAcentral is "partial 16S ribosomal RNA". It matches the Rfam family "Bacterial small subunit ribosomal RNA", at positions 524 to 776 of the family's 1533-position model. The record is from RNAcentral.
CACGUAGGGUGCGAGCGUUGUCCGGAAUUAUGGCGUAAAGAGCUCGUAGGCGGUGUGUCGCGUCGGCCGUGAAAACCUGCAGCUUAACUGUGGGCUUGCGGUCGAUACGGGCAUCACUGGAGUUCGGCAGGGGAGACUGGAAUUCCUGGUGUAGCGGUGAAAUGCGCAGAUAUCAGGAGGAACACCGGUGGCGAAGGCGGGUCUCUGGGCCGUAACUGGACGCUGGAGGAGCGAAAGCAUGGGGAGCGAACAGG